This is a non-coding RNA of Salmo salar (Atlantic salmon), 55 nucleotides long. Lineage: Eukaryota; Metazoa; Chordata; Actinopteri; Salmoniformes; Salmonidae. The record is from Rfam.
UGCACGCAUGACUGUAAGUCGCUUUGGAUAAAAAGUGUCUGCUAAAUGCCAUAUA